RNAcentral lists this ribosomal RNA (801 nucleotides) under Mycobacterium tuberculosis. RNAcentral's name for it is "bacterial SSU rRNA". It matches the Rfam family "Bacterial small subunit ribosomal RNA", at positions 8 to 810 of the family's 1533-position model. Lineage: Bacteria; Bacillati; Actinomycetota; Actinomycetes; Mycobacteriales; Mycobacteriaceae. The record is from RNAcentral.
AGAGUUUGAUCCUGGCUCAGGACGAACGCUGGCGGCGUGCUUAACACAUGCAAGUCGAACGGAAAGGUCUCUUCGGAGAUACUCGAGUGGCGAACGGGUGAGUAACACGUGGGUGAUCUGCCCUGCACUUCGGGAUAAGCCUGGGAAACUGGGUCUAAUACCGGAUAGGACCACGGGAUGCAUGUCUUGUGGUGGAAAGCGCUUUAGCGGUGUGGGAUGAGCCCGCGGCCUAUCAGCUUGUUGGUGGGGUGACGGCCUACCAAGGCGACGACGGGUAGCCGGCCUGAGAGGGUGUCCGGCCACACUGGGACUGAGAUACGGCCCAGACUCCUACGGGAGGCAGCAGUGGGGAAUAUUGCACAAUGGGCGCAAGCCUGAUGCAGCGACGCCGCGUGGGGGAUGACGGCCUUCGGGUUGUAAACCUCUUUCACCAUCGACGAAGGUCCGGGUUCUCUCGGAUUGACGGUAGGUGGAGAAGAAGCACCGGCCAACUACGUGCCAGCAGCCGCGGUAAUACGUAGGGUGCGAGCGUUGUCCGGAAUUACUGGGCGUAAAGAGCUCGUAGGUGGUUUGUCGCGUUGUUCGUGAAAUCUCACGGCUUAACUGUGAGCGUGCGGGCGAUACGGGCAGACUAGAGUACUGCAGGGGAGACUGGAAUUCCUGGUGUAGCGGUGGAAUGCGCAGAUAUCAGGAGGAACACCGGUGGCGAAGGCGGGUCUCUGGGCAGUAACUGACGCUGAGGAGCGAAAGCGUGGGGAGCGAACAGGAUUAGAUACCCUGGUAGUCCACGCCGUAAACGGU